RNAcentral lists this ribosomal RNA (602 nucleotides) under Naganishia friedmannii. RNAcentral's name for it is "eukaryotic LSU rRNA". It matches the Rfam family "Eukaryotic large subunit ribosomal RNA", at positions 55 to 647 of the family's 3401-position model. The record is from RNAcentral. Lineage: Eukaryota; Fungi; Basidiomycota; Tremellomycetes; Filobasidiales; Filobasidiaceae.
GGAAAAGAAACUAACAAGGAUUCCCCUAGUAACGGCGAGUGAAGCGGGAAGAGCUCAAAUUUGAAAUCUGGUAGCCUUCGGUUGCCCGAGUUGUAAUCUAGAGAAGUGUUUUCCGCGUUGGCCCAUGUACAAGUCCCUUGGAACAGGGCGUCAUAGAGGGUGAGAAUCCCGUCCUUGACAUGGACCCCCAAUGCUUUGUGAUACACUUUCAACGAGUCGAGUUGUUUGGGAAUGCAGCUCAAAAUGGGUGGUGAAUUCCAUCUAAAGCUAAAUAUUGGCGAGAGACCGAUAGCGAACAAGUACCGUGAGGGAAAGAUGAAAAGCACUUUGGAAAGAGAGUUAAACAGUACGUGAAAUUGUUGAAAGGGAAACGAUUGAAGUCAGUCAUGCUCUUUGGAUUAAGCCGUUCUGCGGUGUAUUUCAUUGAGCGGGGUCAACAUCAGUUUUGAUCGCUGGAAAAGGGCAGGAGGAAGGUAGCACUCUCGGGUGAACUUAUAGCCUCUUGUCGUAUACAGUGAUUGGGACUGAGGAACGCAGCAUGCCUUUUGGCCGGGAUUCGUCCACGUACAUGCUUAGGAUGUUGACAUAAUGGCUUUAAACGA